CCUACGGGAGACAGCAGUAGGGAAUAUUGGUCAAUGGGGGAAACCCUGAAGCAGCAACGCCGCGUGGAGGAUGACGGUUUUCUGAUUGUAAACCCCUUUUGUUAGAGAAGAUAAUGACGGUAUCUAACGAAUAAUCACCGGCUCACUCCGUGCCAGCAGGCGCGGUACUACGGAGGGUGCAGGCGUUACUCGGAAUCACUGGGCGUAAAGGGCGCGUAGGCGGGAUAGCAAGUCAGAUGUGAAAUCUUAUGGCUUAACCAUAGAACUGCAGUUGAAACUGUUAUUCUAGAGUGUGGGAGAGGUAGGUGGAAUUCUUGGUGUAGGGGUAAAAUCCGUAGAGAUCAAGAGGAAUACUCAUUGCGAAGGCGACCUGCUAGAACAUAACUGACGCUGAUGCGCGAAAGCGUGGGGAGCAAACAGGAUUAGAUACCCUGGUAGUC
RNAcentral lists this ribosomal RNA (440 nucleotides) under uncultured bacterium. RNAcentral's name for it is "partial 16S ribosomal RNA". It matches the Rfam family "Bacterial small subunit ribosomal RNA", at positions 338 to 795 of the family's 1533-position model. The record is from RNAcentral.